This is a long non-coding RNA of Zea mays, 898 nucleotides long. RefSeq lists it as uncharacterized. NCBI's taxonomy places the organism in Eukaryota, Viridiplantae, Streptophyta, Magnoliopsida, Poales, Poaceae. The transcript has 2 exons. The record is from RefSeq and is a predicted model, not a curated record.
UGCACCCGUCGGGUUCGGGUUCGGGUGUAAAAAUCCACCCACGGGUUAGACCCAAACCCGACCCGAAGCAUUACGGGUGCGGGUGCGGGUUUUGAUUUUCGCCCGCGGGUCACCCGGAACCCGGAGCUACGCCCGAAGCGCAGAGUUGCAGCCGGCCACCCGCCCAAGUCCCGUGCGCAUCCAGUUUGUAUUCCAGUGGGCCCUGAGAAAAACCCAAAUCCCUCAACCCUAAGUCCCCAACCGGCCGCCAUAGCAGAUUAGCAGGCUAGCACCACUGCACCAGGCGUCCAGGGCUCCAGGCGGCCGCGGCCACGAUAGAUCCGCCCGCCGCUGCCCGCCCCACCCCGGCCACCCCCUCCGCCGUCACCACCACCGGAGGACGCAUCCCCAGGGCCGCCGCAUCCUGCUCCUGCCGGAUCCCCAGGACCACCGGAGGAGGACGCAUCCCUAGGAGCCACCGAGCGUCCGAGGCCAAGCCAGGAGUCCAAGUCUCCACUAUCUAGGACCGGCACUCCCCACUCCGGCACUCCCCAGGACCACCGGAGUCCGACUGCAGCGGCCAGCGGCGCAGCCUGCUCCCACCACGUACGAGGUUCCUAUCCUUGUAGGUGAGAGUCUGAUGUCUGACCAAGGUGCUUCGAGGCCGAGCAGGAGCAGUCGUCAAGUUCCCACAAAGAGCAGUGCUGUGGUUGCAGGAGGUUCCUCAAGUGCAGCUACACCGACGAGUGCUGCUGCAAAUGAAAUGCCAUCUUCAAGUGUUCAAGCUCCACCAUCAGAAGGUACAGAACAUGUGGUCGUAAAUGAUGAUGAUGAUAAUGUACAAGUUGGAUGCAAAAGGAAGCUGAAAUCUGAUGUGUGGCUUGAAUUUGAACAAGUAACAGUUGGGGGUAAAAUGAAA